CUUAACUUUAGCUGGUGGAACAACCGGUUACUACAGCGGAUCUACAACAGUGUUAAACAGGAAGAGGCCUUAGUGCUUCAUAUAUGUUUAAUCAGUGAAAUUGUUAACCGCAAUUAACCACUGAAGAUAUCCGGUGUUACAAAGGUGUCGUAAAGGGAGAGCACAGUUGUUGUUUUGGUUUCACUACCGGUUAGCAAACCAGCCUAGAGACGCAAUACUGCCACCUGUGGGCCACGAUGUGUAGCUAAAAUGUCUGCAGUGUGGACAUAUUUUAAAUUAGAUAAACAGCUGUUUGUCAUAUCGAAGCCGCAAAACUUUGGAGAGGAUGUAGUAACGGAGCAUGAUAGUAUUAGAUUUAGAAUAUUAAAUGACUACGAUCUGUAUCUGGGAAAAAAAAAACAUGAAUGGAACAUCCCUAAAAACAUCUGCCGCCAUCGGGUUCAUCUUCAGUCCGACCUCACCGUCUUUAGCUUUUAGUGGCCUUUCUGUCAGCACGUCUCAGUUAAUGUUCACCAGUCGGCUGACAACAUCCAAUCACUGCUUCAGCUUGAUUUGUUUUUAUGUUCUUCUACAGACUCCAUGUUAAUGUGUUGUUCCAGCUCUUCAUAUCAAACCAAACAGCUUCAUGUUCUGAAUAUCAGGUUUAAUUCUGGGUCUUUAGCUUUGUUUGCCAGCAGAGUUUUUUAUCAUCUGUUUAAUGUGGAGUCGCAGCAAAAACUGGGAGAAUCUGGUCCAUAUCUCUCAUUGUUUGCUUCCAUAUCGAGCCUUUUGUGUCUGAUUGAAUUACUGUUGCUGGUCCAGAAUCACCACCUCUUCACAUCCCUGCGCUCAGCACUGUACAUAAACACAUAUUUAUUUUUACGAACAGACUGAGAUGACGUCAAACAUUCGACUGAUGCUGCAUCGCAGAGGGGAGUUUCUGCUAUUUAUUCAGUUUAUCUCUACACGCUGUGCACAUUAAUCCACACAGACGCUGAUAUGCAGCUCAGAUUAUGUUUCACUCUGCAUCACUUUUCUGGGGGAAGCAUCCAUCACACUCUGGUGUCUUUAAUACAAAACUCCCCGAGAGAGAUAUAACAUUUCAGACUCAUCGCAGUCGACUUUUAUCUCCUGGGAAGAUUCAUACGCCACCGAUCCAGAAUUGGAUUGGGCCAAACCAUCUCGUCUCUCUGCAGGAGUCAAAUUGUAAAGUCCCAAUAAAAGCAGCGCCAACUGACACAUGAAAAUAAUAAGCAGCUGGGACCAGAUGGAGACUCUGGUUGUGCUGCAGCGUCUUCCCUCAUGCAUUACAGUAAUGUCGGAGCCGUUGUGUUUAAAUGGCCUCUUUCACAGCUUGGUUCGGGUCACAUCAAUGACAGCGGCAACGUUUCCUUCGUUCUGCUGCUGUUCAACACAAAAUCGACUCUCAGCCAGAGUGUGAUGGAUGAAAUUUCUGUCCAGAAAACCUCUGCAAGGUUCUACAUGCCUCUAAACAUUAUGCAAGUUCUUCUGAGCUCCAGCAGAGGUGUCUCAAGGUUCACCUGGAGCUGCAGGUGUUAGAAGGUUCACCUGGAGCUGCAGGUGUUAGAAGGUUCUCCUGGAGCUGCAGGUGUUAGAAGGUUCUCCUGGAGCUGCAGGUGUUAGAAGGUUCACCUGGAGCUGCAGGUGUUAGAAGGUUCACCUGGAGCUGCAGGUGUUAGAAGGUUCUCCUGGAGCUGCAGGUGUUAGAAGGUUCUCCUGGAGCUGCAGGUGUUAGAAGGUUCACCUGGAGCUGCAGGUGUCUGAACGUUCUCCUGGAGCUGCAGGUGUUAGAAGGUUCUCCUGGAGCUGCAGGUGUCUGAAGGUUCACCUGGAGCUGCAGGUGUUCCAGGUGUUUCUGGAAACUGUCUGUUCUUGAUUUGUGCCUUUUUAUCAACAGUUGAGUUCUUGAACGUCGCCUGUCUUGAUUGUUUCCAGCAGACCGAACUCUGCUUCGUACACUGGAUGAAUCACAACCUUCAUUCUUCUCAUCAUCUUCAUCUUUGUGUUUGGACACUGUUGCCACGGCAACGACGCAUGACCACUUGCUGUUUCUGAUUAUUUAUCAGUGAUGGGCUGUAUUGGGGAACGAUCAGCAGCGCUCCUGCCGAUGCGAGGACUCGUCCAGCCGUCCUGAUGCCUUCUCCUCCCUCCUACCUUGUAAUUAAGAGAAGACUUUUAUAGAGGUCACAGAUGAAAUAGAUAAAAUGCCAAUUUUGUAAGAAUGAUUUAUAAAAAAAAAAUAAACUCAUAUUU
Molecule: long non-coding RNA, 2253 nt
Organism: Amphiprion ocellaris (clown anemonefish)
Lineage: Eukaryota; Metazoa; Chordata; Actinopteri; Pomacentridae
Source: Ensembl